UUCGGGGGUUAUCGCAUCCACCCUUUGUCUACGUGUACCUCUGUUGUUUCCUCGGCGGGCUUGCCCGCCGCUAGGAACCCCUUAAACUCUUGUAUUUACAGUAUUAAAAUCUCUGAUAACUAUUUAAAUUAUUACAACUUUCAACAAUGGAUCUCUUGGUUCUGGCAUCGAUGAAGAACGCAGCGAAAUGCGAAAAGUAGUGUGAAUUGCAGAAUUCCGUGAAUCAUCGAAUCUUUGAACGCACAUUGCGCCCCUCGGUAUUCCGUGGGGCAUGCCUGUUCGAGCGUCAUUUACACCCUCAAGCUCUGCUUGGUGUUGGGCGUCUGUCCCGCUUCAUGCGUGGACUCGCCCCAAAGUCAUUGGCAGCGGUCGUGCCAGCUUCUCGCGCAGCACAUUUGCGUUUCUUGAAGUUUGGUGGAUCAGCAUCCAGUAAGCUCUUUUAUGACUUGACCUCGGAUCAGGUAGGGAUACCCGCUGAACUUAAGCAUAUCAAUAAGCGGAGGAAAAGAAACCAACUGGGAUUGCCCUAGUAACGGCGAGUGAAGCGGCAAUAGCUCAAAUUUGAAAUCUGGCUCCUUUUAGGGGUCCGAGUUGUAAUUUGCAGAGGGUGCUUUGGCGUUGGUAGCGGUCUAAGUUCCUUGGAACAGGACAUCGCAGAGGGUGAGAAUCCCGUUUGUGGUCGCAUGCCUUCGCCGUGUAAAGCCCCUUCGACGAGUCGAGUUGUUUGGGAAUGCAUCUCUAAAUGGGAGGUAAAUUUCUUCUAAAGCUAAAUACUGGCCAGAGACCGAUA
This 790-nucleotide ribosomal RNA is filed under the name uncultured Saccharicola. RNAcentral's name for it is "eukaryotic LSU rRNA". The stretch from base 448 to 790 matches the Rfam family "Eukaryotic large subunit ribosomal RNA", at positions 1 to 339 of the family's 3401-position model. The record is from RNAcentral. Lineage: Eukaryota; Fungi; Ascomycota; Dothideomycetes; Pleosporales; Massarinaceae.